This 618-nucleotide ribosomal RNA is filed under the name uncultured bacterium. RNAcentral describes it as "bacterial SSU rRNA". It matches the Rfam family "Bacterial small subunit ribosomal RNA", at positions 28 to 637 of the family's 1533-position model. The record is from RNAcentral.
AUUGAACGCUGGCGGCGUGCCUAACACAUGCAAGUCGAGCGGUAACAGGUGUAGCAAUACAUGCUGACGAGCGGCGAACGGGUGAGUAAUGCUUUGGAAUCUUCCCAGUAGUGGGGAAUAACCAGUCGAAAGAUUGGCUAAUACCGCAUACGUCUGUAAAGGGAAAGCGGGGGACGCGUAAGAACCUCGCGCUAUUGGAUGAGCCAAAGUCGGAUUAGCUAGUUGGUGGGGUAAUGGCCUACCAAGGCGACAAUCCGUAGCUGGUCUGAGAGGACGACCAGCCACACCGGAACUGAGACACGGUCCGGACUCCUACGGGAGGCAGCAGUGGGGAAUAUUGGACAAUGGGGGAAACCCUGAUCCAGCGACGCCGCGUGUGUGAAGAAGGCCUGCGGGUUGUAAAGCACUUUUAGUGGGGACAAAAAGCUACGGAUUAAUACUCUGUGGUCUUGAUUUAACCCAAAGAAAAAGCACCGGCUAACUCUGUGCCAGCAGCCGCGGUAAUACAGAGGGUGCGAGCGUUAAUCGGAAUUACUGGGCGUAAAGCGCGCGUAGACGGUUUUGUAAGUCAGAUGUGAAAUCCCUGGGCUCAACCUGGGAACUGCAUUUGAUACUGCA